GAUGAAGAACGUAGUAAAAUGCGAUAAGUAAUGUGAAUUGCAGAAUUCAGUGAAUCAUCGAAUCUUUGAACGCACAUUGCGCCCGCUGGUAUUCCGGCGGGCAUGCCUGUUCGAGCGUCAUUUCAACCCUCAAGCCCCCGGGUUUGGUGUUGGGGAUCGGCUCUGCCUUCUGGCGGUGCCGCCCCCGAAAUACAUUGGCGGUCUCGCUGCAGCCUCCAUUGCGUAGUAGCUAACACCUCGCAACUGGAACGCGGCGCGGCCAUGCCGUAAAACCCCAACUUCUGAAUGUUGACCUCGGAUCAGGUAGGAAUACCCGCUGAACUUAAGCAUAUCAAAAGCGGAGGA
Molecule: unclassified non-coding RNA, 345 nt
Filed under: soil metagenome
Description: partial contains 5.8S ribosomal RNA, internal transcribed spacer 2, and large subunit ribosomal RNA
Rfam family: 5.8S ribosomal RNA (bases 1-120)
Source: RNAcentral